UGAAUCUUGCUUUUUGGGUGUGUUG
This 25-nucleotide non-coding RNA is filed under the name Mus musculus (house mouse). The record is from RNAcentral. Lineage: Eukaryota; Metazoa; Chordata; Mammalia; Rodentia; Muridae.